UUCCUUUUUAUUGCCUCCAACCGGCUCUUCUCUUCUCCCUUCUCCUCCCUCCUCCGCCAGCAUUCUCCCUUGGCCGAUCUCCGUCCUCCCUCCUCCAAGAUUCGACAAGCAGGUGGGAUGCGAUCAUCGAGGCGACGACCACCUUGGACCCAUCUUCAACGAUGGGCACGGCGUUGGCAUUGCAGUUGGGCCUUCUAGCAGUGUGCACCGUCCUACCUCAAGAUCAUAACAAUGGCAUCUAGGUUGUUCUGGGCUUCGAGGGCCGCCUCCUACCUCAAGAUCUCCACCUUCCCUAGAGUCUUCUCCAUAGUUGAUGCCAUGACAGCAAUCAAGGAGCAGUAUCGGAUCCAGAGGAAUUGGAUGGGAGAUCCAUGCUCCCCUAUUGUUUUUGUUUGGGAUGGACUAACUUGUGAUUAUAGCUUGUCAAAUUCUCCAAGAGUCACUGCUUUUCAGUAUUGUUCUGUAGGAGUCUGUCAUCAAGUGGGCUGAUGGGGGAAAUAACCAAAUCUUUUGCUAGUCUUAGUGCACUUCAAAACUUGGACUUGUCUUAUAACAAUUUAACAAGGCCAAUACCUGAUGAUCUAGCAAACUUAAGUUCUCUCAAACUACUAUAAGCAUAAUUCUUAAAACCUCUUUCACUAUAUGGAAAAGGUAGAAAAUGUCUUAACAUUUCAUGAUUGUUUGCAGUGAUUUGACAGGCAACCGGUUAAAUGGAUCAAUUCCUUCAAACCUCCUUGAAAUGGCACAAAAUGGAUUGCUUACCUUAAGGCUCACCAAGAUCAACUGGCUCAAGUAGCUUGCGAAGCUUGUCCUUCGCCAGGAAUUGCCUCACCCACAUGUAACCCUCUAUUUGUAGUAAUUAGUAAAUUGUGAUGCAUUUCUGAUUACUAUAAUUGAUGCAUUUCUGAUUUCUGUUUAGCAAGAGUUGAUUUUUAACUUCUGAUUAGCACUAGUUGAUUCACAGAACUGGUUAUCACAUAACCAAUGGUACAGUGUUCAGUAGUUCUUAAUUGUUAGGUGAUACUUUUCUCUAUGAUAUUGCAUGUUUGAUUAUGCCAAAUUGGUUAUAUCUUAUUGCUAUAAUUAUUUUUUGUUAGAAUUGGAAGGUUGGUAUUGAAUGGAGGUAUCCAACUGAAGAUGGAUAGGUGGAUGUUUCAACUGAAGAUGGAUUGGUUUCACAUGUCAAUUAUCUUCAAAUCUAGAUAAUGUUGGGUUAACGUUUGUGUUAAUCAAUGUAUCUAUCAUUUUAGGAACUAUCUUCGAAUCUGGACAUGUUAAUUAUCUUCAAAUCUUGUUUGAAUCAUGUUGACAGUAGUAUCAUCAUUUUGGGAAUUAUGUAUUUGGUUUUGUAGGUGGAUACAGGACAGUCGAGAUCAGUACACUAAGGAGCGUUUGGAUUCAGUAAUUGAUGAGAAAUUGCUCAUAUUCUAAAUGUUUCAUUUUAGCUUUCUUUCUGCAAAUACUGUAUGCAUUUUAGAAUGGAGAAAUUGCAAGCUUUCUCUGCAUAUUGGAAACUACACAGUUUGAAGAAUGCAGUUUAGAAACUGCAUGCAUUUUAAAAUGCAUAUUAGAAACUGCAUGCAUUUUAGAAUGUAGUUUGAAGAAACAUUGCCUUUCUACAAGCCAAGCUUUCUUUCUGCAAGCUUUAUUUCUGCAGUUUGAAAAACGUUGCAUUUCUGCAACAACAGUGCUUUUUGCAAGAAAGCGUUUGCAGAGAAGAAAGCGUUUAAUUUCUGCAAGCUUUCUUUAUGUAGUUUGAAGAAACGUUGCAUUAUUUCUGCAAGCUUUCUUUCUUUCUUUCUGCAAGCAUUUCAUUUCUGAGUAAUGAGUUUUGGUCCAUUUAUAGAAAAUAACUAGUA
Molecule: RNA transcript, 1859 nt
Organism: Zingiber officinale
Lineage: Eukaryota; Viridiplantae; Streptophyta; Magnoliopsida; Zingiberales; Zingiberaceae
Gene name: probable LRR receptor-like serine/threonine-protein kinase At1g05700
Exons: 5
Source: RefSeq, a predicted model, not a curated record